AUGGGCAUUUGAGGAAAUGGUCAAGUGUAAUUUCACUUGUGGCUUAACAUUAGAACCUGAACGCUGACGAAAAAGCAACUGUGUGAUCAUUUGUGUCUCUGCCCCGACUAUCCAGGACCAGGUGGCUGGGGUGCAGCUAAUAGGCUGGAUUACUCUUACGAUGACUUCCUGGACACUGUGCAAGAAACAGCCACAAGCAUCGGCAAUGCCAAGUCCUCACGGAUUAAAAGAAGUGCCCCAUUAUCUGACUAUAAAAUUAAGUUAAUUUUUAACAUCACAGUGUGCCAUUACCCGAUGAAAGAAAUGAUACCCUUGAAUGGGAAAAUCAGCAACGACUCCUUCAGACAUUGGAAACUAUCACAAAUAAACUGAAAAGGACUCUCAACAAAGACCCCAUGUAUUCCUUUCAGCUUGCAUCAGAAAUACUUAUAGCCGACAGCAAUUCAUUAGAAACAAAAAAGGCUUCCCCCUUCUGCAGACCAGGCUCAGUGCUGAGAGGGCGUAUGUGUGUCAAUUGCCCUUUGGGAACCUAUUAUAAUCUGGAACAUUUCACCUGUGAAAGCUGCCGGAUCGGAUCCUAUCAAGAUGAAGAAGGGCAACUUGAGUGCAAGCUUUGCCCCUCUGGGAUGUACACGGAAUAUAUCCAUUCAAGAAACAUCUCUGAUUGUAAAGCUCAGUGUAAACAAGGCACCUACUCAUACAGUGGACUUGAGACUUGUGAAUCGUGUCCACUGGGCACUUAUCAGCCAAAAUUUGGUUCCCGGAGCUGCCUCUCGUGUCCAGAAAACACCUCAACUGUGAAAAGAGG
Molecule: long non-coding RNA, 808 nt
Filed under: Homo sapiens (human)
Lineage: Eukaryota; Metazoa; Chordata; Mammalia; Primates; Hominidae
Description: HSALNT0153921
Source: RNAcentral